RNAcentral lists this ribosomal RNA (497 nucleotides) under uncultured bacterium. Its description in RNAcentral is "partial 16S ribosomal RNA". It matches the Rfam family "Bacterial small subunit ribosomal RNA", at positions 28 to 507 of the family's 1533-position model. The record is from RNAcentral.
GACGAACGCUGGCGGCGUGCCUAAUACAUGCAAGUUGAGCGCUGAAGGUUGGUACUUGUACCAACUGGAUGAGCAGCGAACGGGUGAGUAACGCGUGGGGAAUCUGCCUUUGAGCGGGGGACAACAUUUGGAAACGAAUGCUAAUACCGCAUAAAAACUUUAAACACAAGUUUUAAGUUUGAAAGAUGCAAUUGCAUCACUCAAAGAUGAUCCCGCGUUGUAUUAGCUAGUUGGUGAGGUAAAGGCUCACCAAGGCGAUGAUACAUAGCCGACCUGAGAGGGUGAUCGGCCACAUUGGGACUGAGGCACGGCCCAAACUCCUACGGGAGGCAGCAGUAGGGAAUCUUCGGCAAUGGACGAAAGGCUGACCGAGCAACGCCGCGGGAGUGAAGAAGGGUUUCGGAUCGGAAAACUCUGUUGGUAGAGAAGAACGUUGGUGAGAGUGGAAAGCUCAUCAAGUGACGGUAACUACCCAGAAAGGGACGGCUAACUACGUG